AUGUGAUCUGUAUAAUUUGUCUUCCUCUCUAUUGUCACGUGGCCUGUGCAUUUACUUCAUCUGCCCUGAUGAUUUAGUCUAAACCAGCUGCUCUUCAAAUAAUAAUUCACAGUAUCUUUGACUGGUGCUAUUGCCUGUUUUUAAAUGUGGAAGCAAUAAAAUGUGCAAUGAUUCAUUUGAUUUUGUCACAUGGAUUGGAGUCGUGAUCUGAACUGGUACCUUGGCUUUAGGUGACUUUACAUCUGUGUUUUAACCCAGCCUUUUUACAAUAUCAAAACUAAAAGCAAAAGUAAAGGCUGUUUAUGAAGCCGGUAUUUUUUCAUUUCUCAUCACUUGAGGUAGAAAAUUCGAACCUAACAGAACGAGGAUGGCGUUUCUCCAGGUCUAUUUGAAGGUUAACAAAGACACAAUUAAAACAAUAAGUCUGUCAACAUCAGAUGAAGACAUUGGGAAACCCACCGUCAAAGAUCUAAAGAAAAAAGCCCUAAGUCAUUUUCCUGGAGUGAAUGAUCAUAACCAUCUGAGGUUGAUUUUCAAUGGAAAAGAUCUUGAAAAUGAAAAAAAACUUGAAGAUUACGGCAUUCAAGAACUCUCUGUCAUUCAAGCCAUAAUGAAAAUGCGUGGUGGAAAAGACCCAGUUCCACUUGAUGAAGAGUUUCCCAGGACUCAGUCUAUGGCAUGAUUAUAUUUUAAUAUUUGUAUAUAACUACAUAUUAUAUGACAAAUGUGUUAAGAAAAUGUGUAAAUGACAAAACAAUUAAAUAACAAAAAAAGAAUAAACUGUAAUAGUGUAAACCAGCAAAAAAAAAAAAAAAAAGUUCUCCCAAAAACUAUUAAAAUGUUUGUAGGAAAGAUUAUUUUUGUUGUUGUUGAUCUUAAGUAUUUGCUUCAGAAAAAUCACCGGAAUUAAACCUACAUUAAAACAAUGUAAAAAAUUAUAUGCUGUAAAAAAACAAAUACAAAAAGCAAAUUUGUUUGUAUACUUAAUUGAUGUAGACUUUUUAAAAUCUUUUUACUUUUUCAUAAUGUUUAUUGAUUGUCACCAUGAUUUCAGUUUGCAGGUAAAGCACUGAGGACAUAAUAUUUUGUACUUUAGUGUGAAUAAAAUAUGCAAUGAUAAA
Long non-coding RNA from Ctenopharyngodon idella (grass carp), 1121 nucleotides. RefSeq lists it as uncharacterized. NCBI's taxonomy places the organism in Eukaryota, Metazoa, Chordata, Actinopteri, Cypriniformes, Xenocyprididae. The record is from RefSeq and is a predicted model, not a curated record. The transcript is spliced from 3 exons.